GUUGUCCGGAAUUAUUGGGCGUAAAGAGCUCGUAGGCGGUUUGUCGCGUCUGCUGUGAAAACUGGAGGCUCAACCUCCAGCCUGCAGUGGGUACGGGCAGACUAGAGUGCGGUAGGGGAGAUUGGAAUUCCUGGUGUAGCGGUGGAAUGCGCAGAUAUCAGGAGGAACACCGAUGGCGAAGGCAGAUCUCUGGGCCGUAACUGACGCUGAGGAGCGAAAGCAUGGGGAGCGAACAGG
This 237-nucleotide ribosomal RNA is filed under the name uncultured bacterium. Its description in RNAcentral is "partial 16S ribosomal RNA". It matches the Rfam family "Bacterial small subunit ribosomal RNA", at positions 540 to 776 of the family's 1533-position model. The record is from RNAcentral.